GAACAUCACUUGGACAUGGGUUAGUCGAUCCUAAGAGAUGGGGAAUCCUUGUAUCAAGGGUGCACUCUGCAUGAACAUCGAAAGAGAAUUGGGUUAAUAUUCCCAAACUGGGACAUGGUGGUGGAUGAUAGUGUUAGGAAAUCUGUAGAUGUCAUCGAGGGCCUGGGAAGAGUUAUCUUUUAUUUUUAAUGACUUUCCCACCCUGAAAUCGGUUCAACCGGAGAUAGGUUCCAACAUAUGGAAGAGCACCACACGUCUUGCGGUGUUUGGUGCCCCCUCGGUGGCCAUUGAAAAUAUGGAGAACCAAGUACCAUCCAUGCCUGAUCAUACUCAUAUCUGCCUCCUUGGAUUUUUCAAUGCCC
Molecule: non-coding RNA, 362 nt
Organism: Picea glauca (white spruce)
Lineage: Eukaryota; Viridiplantae; Streptophyta; Pinopsida; Pinales; Pinaceae
Source: Rfam